GGGAAUGAUGAUACAUGCACUGGUCUCUGAGCAGUUUGUAACUGCGAUUAUUGAUGGAAAUGCAGCCUAGAAAUAUGACCC
This is a small nucleolar RNA of Prunus persica (peach), 81 nucleotides long. NCBI's taxonomy places the organism in Eukaryota, Viridiplantae, Streptophyta, Magnoliopsida, Rosales, Rosaceae. The record is from Rfam.